RNAcentral lists this ribosomal RNA (421 nucleotides) under uncultured bacterium. RNAcentral's name for it is "bacterial SSU rRNA". It matches the Rfam family "Bacterial small subunit ribosomal RNA", at positions 508 to 927 of the family's 1533-position model. The record is from RNAcentral.
UCAGCCGCCGCGGUAAUACGUAGGGGGCGAGCGUUGUCCGAAUUUACUGGGCGUAAAGCGCGCGUAGGCGGGCUCUUAAGUUGGUGGUGAAAUCCCGAGGCUCAACCUCGGAACUGCCUCCAAAACUGUGAGCCUUGAGGUAUGGAGAGGGAAGUGGAAUUCCAGGUGUAGCGGUGAAAUGCGUAGAUAUCUGGAGGAACACCCGUGGCGAAGGCGGCUUCCUGGUCAUAUCCUGACGCUGAGGUGCGAAAGCUAGGGGAGCGAACGGGAUUAGAUACCCCGGUAGUCCUAGCCGUAAACGAUGGAUACUAGGUGUCAGUGGUAUCGACCCCACUGGUGCCGAAGCUAACGCAUUAAGUAUCCCGCCUGGGGAGUACGGCCGCAAGGCUGAAACUCAAAGGAAUUGACGGGGGCCCGCACA